GGGUUGUGAGGUUAAGCGACUAAGCGUACACGGUGGAUGCCCUGGCAGUCAGAGGCGAUGAAGGACGUGCUAAUCUGCGAUAAGCGUCGGUAAGGUGAUAUGAACCGUUAUAACCGGCGAUUUCCGAAUGGGGAAACCCAGUGUGAUUCGUCACACUAUCAUUAACUGAAUCCAUAGGUUAAUGAGGCGAACCGGGGGAACUGAAACAUCUAAGUACCCCGAGGAAAAGAAAUCAACCGAGAUUCCCCCAGUAGCGGCGAGCGAACGGGGAGCAGCCCAGAGCCUGAAUCAGUGUGUGUGUUAGUGGAAGCGUCUGGAAAGGCGCGCGAUACAGGGUGACAGCCCCGUACACAAAAAUGCACAUGCUGUGAGCUCGAUGAGUAGGGCGGGACACGUGGUAUCCUGUCUGAAUAUGGGGGGACCAUCCUCCAAGGCUAAAUACUCCUGACUGACCGAUAGUGAACCAGUACCGUGAGGGAAAGGCGAAAAGAACCCCGGCGAGGGGAGUGAAAAAGAACCUGAAACCGUGUACGUACAAGCAGUGGGAGCACGCUUAGGCGUGUGACUGCGUACCUUUUGUAUAAUGGGUCAGCGACUUAUAUUCUGUAGCAAGGUUAACCGAAUAGGGGAGCCGAAGGGAAACCGAGUCUUAACUGGGCGUUAAGUUGCAGGGUAUAGACCCGAAACCCGGUGAUCUAGCCAUGGGCAGGUUGAAGGUUGGGUAACACUAACUGGAGGACCGAACCGACUAAUGUUGAAAAAUUAGCGGAUGACUUGUGGCUGGGGGUGAAAGGCCAAUCAAACCGGGAGAUAGCUGGUUCUCCCCGAAAGCUAUUUAGGUAGCGCCUCGUGAAUUCAUCUCCGGGGGUAGAGCACUGUUUCGGCAAGGGGGUCAUCCCGACUUACCAACCCGAUGCAAACUGCGAAUACCGGAGAAUGUUAUCACGGGAGACACACGGCGGGUGCUAACGUCCGUCGUGAAGAGGGAAACAACCCAGACCGCCAGCUAAGGUCCCAAAGUCAUGGUUAAGUGGGAAACGAUGUGGGAAGGCCCAGACAGCCAGGAUGUUGGCUUAGAAGCAGCCAUCAUUUAAAGAAAGCGUAAUAGCUCACUGGUCGAGUCGGCCUGCGCGGAAGAUGUAACGGGGCUAAACCAUGCACCGAAGCUGCGGCAGCGACGCUGAUGCGUUGUUGGGUAGGGGAGCGUUCUGUAAGCCUGUGAAGGUGUGCUGUGAGGCAUGCUGGAGGUAUCAGAAGUGCGAAUGCUGACAUAAGUAACGAUAAAGCGGGUGAAAAGCCCGCUCGCCGGAAGACCAAGGGUUCCUGUCCAACGUUAAUCGGGGCAGGGUGAGUCGACCCCUAAGGCGAGGCCGAAAGGCGUAGUCGAUGGGAAACAGGUUAAUAUUCCUGUACUUGGUGUUACUGCGAAGGGGGGACGGAGAAGGCUAUGUUGGCCGGGCGACGGUUGUCCCGGUUUAAGCGUGUAGGCUGGUUUUCCAGGCAAAUCCGGAAAAUCAAGGCUGAGGCGUGAUGACGAGGCACUACGGUGCUGAAGCAACAAAUGCCCUGCUUCCAGGAAAAGCCUCUAAGCAUCAGGUAACAUCAAAUCGUACCCCAAACCGACACAGGUGGUCAGGUAGAGAAUACCAAGGCGCUUGAGAGAACUCGGGUGAAGGAACUA
This 1681-nucleotide ribosomal RNA is filed under the name Escherichia coli. RNAcentral describes it as "partial 23S ribosomal RNA". It matches the Rfam family "Bacterial large subunit ribosomal RNA", at positions 1 to 1715 of the family's 2925-position model. The record is from RNAcentral. Lineage: Bacteria; Pseudomonadati; Pseudomonadota; Gammaproteobacteria; Enterobacterales; Enterobacteriaceae.